This 500-nucleotide ribosomal RNA is filed under the name uncultured bacterium. Its description in RNAcentral is "partial 16S ribosomal RNA". It matches the Rfam family "Bacterial small subunit ribosomal RNA", at positions 29 to 523 of the family's 1533-position model. The record is from RNAcentral.
AUUGAACGCUGGCGGCAUGCCUUACACAUGCAAGUCGAACGCGAAAGGGGGGCAACUCCUGAGUAGAGUGGCGCACGGGUGAGUAAUGCAUCGGAACGUGUCCUGUAGCGGGGGGAUAACCUAGCGAAAGCUAGGCUAAUACCGCAUACGUACUACGGGAGAAAGUGGGGGAUCGUAAGACCUCACACUAUAGGAGCGGCCGAUGCCGGAUGAGCUAGUUGGUGGGGUAAAAGCCUACCAAGGCGACGAUACGUAGCUGGUCUGAGAGGAUGAUCAGCCACACUGGGACUGAUACACUGCCCAGACUCCUACGGGAGGCAGCAGUGGGGAAUUUUGGACAAUGGGGGAAACCCUGAUCCAGCCAUGCCGCGUGAGUGAAGAAGGCCUUCGGGUUGUAAAGCUCUUUCGGCCGGGACGAAAUCGCACGCGUGAAUAUCGCGUGUGGAUGACGGUACCGGAAGAAGAAGGACCGGCUAACUACGUGCCAGCAGCCGCGGUAA